Molecule: long non-coding RNA, 323 nt
Organism: Gallus gallus (chicken)
Lineage: Eukaryota; Metazoa; Chordata; Aves; Galliformes; Phasianidae
Source: Ensembl
GAGCUGUGUUGUUGAUAUUUGUCUUCAGAAGUGGCUGUAAUAUGGCUAUGCUUCUUAUGGGUAAAAAGCUAUCCUAAGUGUCUUUACUCAGGUGGUUUUUGAACUGGAAUGCACUGUUACCUUGAGUUGCCAGUUCAACCACCAGGUGGCCAUCAGCGAGCAGAAGUCGGCCUGUCCUUGGGUGGCGGCUCUAUCCCAGCUGUGGGGAUACGAAGGGGAAAAGCAGAAGCUCACCUCUGGUCACCAGCGCUCAUUUUAAGAUUUCUUGAUUGUCGUUACUACUCUCACCACUGCUGAGCUCUUGAUUUCUGCUAUUAAUACAC